GACUUAGCGCAGAGGUAUUAUCGUUACCCAUGAGAUUUAUUUGAGGUACGAUUAUUGGUAUUUGAAAAAAAUCUAAUAAGUCUGAAAAGAUCACACAAUCAUUUUGAAGAGACUCACAAAAUAUAUUUGUUUCAAAACCUUGCGCGUUUUCUUAAAC
Molecule: small nuclear RNA, 157 nt
Organism: Pieris napi
Lineage: Eukaryota; Metazoa; Arthropoda; Insecta; Lepidoptera; Pieridae
Product: U4 spliceosomal RNA
Exons: 1
Source: RefSeq, a predicted model, not a curated record